CCUACGGGGGGCUGCAGUUUCGAAUCAUUCACAAUGGGCGAAAGCCUGAUGGUGCGACGCCGCGUGAGGGAUGAAGGUCUUCGGAUUGUAAACCUCUGUCACUGGGGAGAAAACGCUUUGAGUUAAUAGUUCAAAGCCUGAUUUAACCCGGAGAGGAAGCAGUGGCUAACUCUGUGCCAGCAGCCGCGGUAAUACAGAGGGUGCAAGCGUGCUUAGGGGGCACGCAGGCGAAAGGGUGCGCAAGAUGUGAAAUCCCGAGGCUUAACCUCGGAACUGCGUCUGAAACUACUCGACUAGAGUACUGGAGAGGGAAACGGAAUUCACGGUGUAGCAGUGAAAUGCGUAGAUAUCGUGAGGAACACCAGAGGCGAAGGCGGUUUCCUGGACAGUUACUGACGCUCAGGCACGAAAGCAUGGGGAGCAAAAGGGAUUAGAUACCCGUGUAGUC
This 448-nucleotide ribosomal RNA is filed under the name uncultured bacterium. Its description in RNAcentral is "partial 16S ribosomal RNA". It matches the Rfam family "Bacterial small subunit ribosomal RNA", at positions 338 to 795 of the family's 1533-position model. The record is from RNAcentral.